Molecule: long non-coding RNA, 370 nt
Filed under: Populus tremula
Lineage: Eukaryota; Viridiplantae; Streptophyta; Magnoliopsida; Malpighiales; Salicaceae
Description: long non-coding RNA (PTRE_LNC001116)
Source: RNAcentral
UCUGCUUCUCUCAUAGUCUGUUGCGUUUACUCAUAAACCCACUGUCUCUCUCUCUCCAUCUCUCUCUCUCUCUCUCUCUCUCUCUCUCACUCUCGAUAUUUUUGGCUUCCAAUACCUCAAGAAACCCACCAUUUUCUUCUUUGCCUUUUAUCUGUUUGAUCAAUCAAGAUUUGAUUCCUUUUGCUCUCUUCACAACAAAGAUUGAGGAUUUUUCAAGAAAUCAGAGUGAUUUCUUGUUUUUUCCUAUUUUGGUUUUCAUUUCUUUGUUAGUUCUGUUGAUUCCUCCUUUAUAUUCUUGGUUUUUUCCUUUUUUUCUAACCCCUGUUGAUUUUAAAAGGGUUUCUCUCCUCUUCUUUUAUCACAGUUUGUU